RNAcentral lists this ribosomal RNA (1000 nucleotides) under Bacillus zhangzhouensis. Its description in RNAcentral is "bacterial SSU rRNA". It matches the Rfam family "Bacterial small subunit ribosomal RNA", at positions 40 to 1023 of the family's 1533-position model. The record is from RNAcentral. Lineage: Bacteria; Bacillati; Bacillota; Bacilli; Caryophanales; Bacillaceae.
CUGCAUGCGCAGCUAUAAUGCAGUCGAGCGAACAGAAGGGAGCUUGCUCCCGGAUGUUAGCGGCGGACGGGUGAGUAACACGUGGGUAACCUGCCUGUAAGACUGGGAUAACUCCGGGAAACCGGAGCUAAUACCGGAUAGUUCCUUGAACCGCAGGUUCAAGGAUGAAAGACGGUUUCGGCUGUCACUUACAGAUGGACCCGCGGCGCAUUAGCUAGUUGGUGGGGUAAUGGCUCACCAAGGCGACGAUGCGUAGCCGACCUGAGAGGGUGAUCGGCCACACUGGGACUGAGACACGGCCCAGACUCCUACGGGAGGCAGCAGUAGGGAAUCUUCCGCAAUGGACGAAAGUCUGACGGAGCAACGCCGCGUGAGUGAUGAAGGUUUUCGGAUCGUAAAGCUCUGUUGUUAGGGAAGAACAAGUGCGAGAGUAACUGCUCGCACCUUGACGGUACCUAACCAGAAAGCCACGGCUAACUACGUGCCAGCAGCCGCGGUAAUACGUAGGUGGCAAGCGUUGUCCGGAAUUAUUGGGCGUAAAGGGCUCGCAGGCGGUUUCUUAAGUCUGAUGUGAAAGCCCCCGGCUCAACCGGGGAGGGUCAUUGGAAACUGGGAAACUUGAGUGCAGAAGAGGAGAGUGGAAUUCCACGUGUAGCGGUGAAAUGCGUAGAGAUGUGGAGGAACACCAGUGGCGAAGGCGACUCUCUGGUCUGUAACUGACGCUGAGGAGCGAAAGCGUGGGGAGCGAACAGGAUUAGAUACCCUGGUAGUCCACGCCGUAAACGAUGAGUGCUAAGUGUUAGGGGUUUCCGCCCCUUAGUGCUGCAGCUAACGCAUUAAGCACUCCGCCUGGGGAGUACGGUCGCAAGACUGAAACUCAAAGGAAUUUGACGGGGGCCCGCACAAGCGGUGGAGCAUGUGGUUUUAAUUCGAAGCAACGCGAAGAACCUUUACCAGUCUUGACAUCCUCUGACACCCUAGAGAUAGGCUUUCCCUUCGG